CCUGCCCAUCAGAAGGGGAUAACACUUGGAAACAGGUGCUAAUACCGUAUAACAAUCAAAACCGCAUGGUUUUGAUUUGAAAGGCGCUUUCGGGUGUCGCUGAUGGAUGGACCCGCGGUGCAUUAGCUAGUUGGUGAGGUAACGGCUCACCAAGGCCACGAUGCAUAGCCGACCUGAGAGGGUGAUCGGCCACAUUGGGACUGAGACACGGCCCAAACUCCUACGGGAGGCAGCAGUAGGGAAUCUUCGGCAAUGGACGAAAGUCUGACCGAGCAACGCCGCGUGAGUGAAGAAGGUUUUCGGAUCGUAAAACUCUGUUGUUAGAGAAGAACAAGGAUGAGAGUAACUGUUCAUCCCUUGACGGUAUCUAACCAGAAAGCCACGGCUAACUACGUGCCAGCAGCCGCGGUAAUACGUAGGUGGCAAGCGUUGUCCGGAUUUAUUGGGCGUAAAGCGAGCGCAGGCGGUUUCUUAAGUCUGAUGUGAAAGCCCCCGGCUCAACCGGGGAGGGUCAUUGGAAACUGGGAGACUUGAGUGCAGAAGAGGAGAGUGGAAUUCCAUGUGUAGCGGUGAAAUGCGUAGAUAUAUGGAGGAACACCAGUGGCGAAGGCGGCUCUCUGGUCUGUAACUGACGCUGAGGCUCGAAAGCGUGGGGAGCAAACAGGAUUAGAUACCCUGGUAGUCCACGCCGUAAACGAUGAGUGCUAAGUGUUGGAGGGUUUCCGCCCUUCAGUGCUGCAGCUAACGCAUUAAGCACUCCGCCUGGGGAGUACGACCGCAAGGUUGAAACUCAAAGGAAUUGACGGGGGCCCGCACAAGCGGUGGAGCAUGUGGUUUAAUUCGAAGCAACGCGAAGAACCUUACCAGGUCUUGACAUCCUUUGACCACUCUAGAGAUAGAGCUUCCCCUUCGGGGGCAAAGUGACAGGUGGUGCAUGGUUGUCGUCAGCUCGUGUCGUGAGAUGUUGGGUUAAGUCCCGCAACGAGCGCAACCCUUAUUGUUAGUUGCCAUCAUUCAGUUGGGCACUCUAGCAAGACUGCCGGUGACAAACCGGAGGAAGGUGGGGAUGACGUCAAAUCAUCAUGCCCCUUAUGACCUGGGCUACACACGUGCU
This 1114-nucleotide ribosomal RNA is filed under the name Enterococcus faecium. Its description in RNAcentral is "bacterial SSU rRNA". It matches the Rfam family "Bacterial small subunit ribosomal RNA", at positions 125 to 1226 of the family's 1533-position model. The record is from RNAcentral. Lineage: Bacteria; Bacillati; Bacillota; Bacilli; Lactobacillales; Enterococcaceae.